UACGUAGGGUGCAAGCGUUAAUCGGAAUUACUGGGCGUAAAGCGUGCACAGGCGGCUUUGCAAGACAGAUGUGAAAUCCCCGGGCUCAACCUGGGAACUGCAUUUGUGACUGCAUGGCUGGAGUGCGGCAGAGGGGGAUGGAAUUCCGCGUGUAGCAGUGAAAUGCGUAGAUAUGCGGAGGAACACCGAUGGCGAAGGCAAUCCCCUGGGCCUGCACUGACGCUCAUGCACGAAAGCGUGGGGAGCAAACAGG
RNAcentral lists this ribosomal RNA (253 nucleotides) under uncultured bacterium. RNAcentral's name for it is "partial 16S ribosomal RNA". It matches the Rfam family "Bacterial small subunit ribosomal RNA", at positions 524 to 776 of the family's 1533-position model. The record is from RNAcentral.